GAAAGAUGGCUUUGGCUAUCACUCUGGGAUGGACCUGCGGUGCAUUAGCUAGUUGGUAAGGUAACGGCUUACCAAGGCGAUGAUGCAUAGCCGAGUUGAGAGACUGAUCGGCCACAAUGGAACUGAGACACGGUCCAUACUCCUACGGGAGGCAGCAGUAGGGAAUCUUCCACAAUGGGCGCAAGCCUGAUGGAGCAACACCGCGUGAGUGAAGAAGGGUUUCGGCUCGUAAAGCUCUGUUGUUGGAGAAGAACGUGCGUGAGAGUAACUGUUCAUGCAGUGACGGUAUCCAACCAGAAAGUCACGGCUAACUACGUGCCAGCAGCCGCGGUAAUACGUAGGUGGCAAGCGUUAUCCGGAUUUAUUGGGCGUAAAGCGAGCGCAGGCGGUUGCUUAGGUCUGAUGUGAAAGCCUUCGGCUUAACCGAAGAAGUGCAUCGGAAACCGGGCGACUUGAGUGCAGAAGAGGACAGUGGAACUCCAUGUGUAGCGGUGGAAUGCGUAGAUAUAUGGAAGAACACCAGUGGCGAAGGCGGCUGUCUGGUCUGCAACUGACGCUGAGGCUCGAAAGCAUGGGUAGCGAACAGGAUUAGAUACCCUGGUAGUCCAUGCCGUAAACGAUGAGUGCUAGGUGUUGGAGGGUUUCCGCCCUUCA
RNAcentral lists this ribosomal RNA (654 nucleotides) under uncultured bacterium. Its description in RNAcentral is "bacterial SSU rRNA". It matches the Rfam family "Bacterial small subunit ribosomal RNA", at positions 202 to 842 of the family's 1533-position model. The record is from RNAcentral.